Molecule: long non-coding RNA, 743 nt
Organism: Zalophus californianus (California sea lion)
Lineage: Eukaryota; Metazoa; Chordata; Mammalia; Carnivora; Otariidae
Exons: 4
Source: RefSeq, a predicted model, not a curated record
GGAGAAGAGAGAGAGUCAUCACAGGCGUCAUCCUGGUGGGGAAUGAGGUGCUCACGGGAAGACACGGAAGAGUGAGGAUCCCGACCGGCCUGGCUGCGUGAUGGUGACAUAGUUACCAUGACUCCAAGCCUCACGUGCUUAUGUCUUCAAAUCUAGUGAACAGUGUCACAGAUUAGCCAACGCUGGACCACAGAGCACCAGGAGGAAAACCACUGCCCCAGGUGGGCAGGCAGGAAAGAGCCAGCCCAGUGCACUCGCCCCAGGCCUGGAAGAAGUCAGACCCUAAGUGGCCAGGGAAACUUCAAGACCUGCGAAGACCUGGUCAAGUCAGAUGGUCAAGAGAGCAUGCAUGAGAGCAGGGGAGAUACACGUACACAGAUGCCCACUGCUGUUCCUUUGGGCCUCAUUCGCACCUAGCAUUCCCCAUGCCCACUGCGGACAGAGCUCAGCUGCACCCAGGAUGCGUGGAAGUUAGGUGAGACUCAAAAUGAGUACAAGACAAGUGUAUUGCUUUGGCCCAGAGAGGCUGUGCUUCUGUUCCAAUCAGAACUUGCUUUGAACACGAAAAGGGCGAUCGCAUUCUCUGAAACAUGAAUGACCGAGGAUCCCCAUCAUAUACCUUCUUAGUCAUGUUACUUCCAUGUAGUAGCCAACAUGUGGGCUGAAAGAAAGGGAAAGGUGGGGCAACCCCCGGUUCCUUUCCUUGCAGUCCUUCCUCACCCAUCAGUAAGGUGAAGGUAGAG